UACGUAGGGUGCAAGCGUUGUCCGGAAUUAUUGGGCGUAAAGAGUUCGUAGGCGGUCUGUUGCGUCGGCUGUGAAAACCCGGGGCUCAACCCCGGGCCUGCAGCCGAUACGGGCAGACUAGAGUUCGGCAGGGGAGACUGGAAUUCCUGGUGUAGCGGUGAAAUGCGCAGAUAUCAGGAGGAACACCGGUGGCGAAGGCGGGUCUCUGGGACGAUACUGACGCUGAGGAGCGAAAGCGUGGGGAGCAAACAGG
Molecule: ribosomal RNA, 253 nt
Filed under: uncultured bacterium
Lineage: Bacteria
Description: partial 16S ribosomal RNA
Rfam family: Bacterial small subunit ribosomal RNA
Source: RNAcentral